RNAcentral lists this ribosomal RNA (519 nucleotides) under uncultured bacterium. Its description in RNAcentral is "partial 16S ribosomal RNA". It matches the Rfam family "Bacterial small subunit ribosomal RNA", at positions 29 to 523 of the family's 1533-position model. The record is from RNAcentral.
AACAAACGCUGGCGGCGUGCCUAACACAUGCAAGUCGUACGAGAAAGGGUCCUUCGGGACCUGAGUAAAGUGGCGCACGGGUGAGUAGCGCGUGGAUAAUCUACCCUUCAGUUGGGAACAACUCAUCGAAAGGUGGGCUAAUACCGAAUAAUACUGCUCGACCUUGGUCGAGCAGCCAAAGAGAGCCUCUGCUUGCAAGCCCUCGCUGAAGGAUGAGUUCGCGUACCAUUAGCUUGUUGGUAGGGUAAUGGCCUACCAAGGCGACGAUGGUUAGCUGGUCUGAGAGGAUGAUCAGCCACACUGGAACUGAGACACGGUCCAGACUCCUACGGGAGGCAGCAGUGAGGAAUCUUGCGCAAUGGGGGAAACCCUGACGCAGCAACGCCGCGUGAGUGAGGAAGGUCUUCGGAUCGUAAAGCUCUGUCAGUUGGAAAGAAAUGUCUGAGAGUCAAUCCCUUUCAGGCUUGACGGUACCAACAGAGGAAGCACCGGCUAACUCCGUGCCAGCCGCCGCGGUAA